This 55-nucleotide transfer RNA is filed under the name Anisakis simplex (herring worm). RNAcentral's name for it is "tRNA-Cys". The record is from RNAcentral. Lineage: Eukaryota; Metazoa; Nematoda; Chromadorea; Rhabditida; Anisakidae.
GGACUUUUAGUAUAAUUUAGUAUACCUAAUUGCAGAUUAGGUGGUCUUAGGUCUU